CCUCAGUCCUCCGGGUCCCUCCGGUGAGAGGCGGGCAGGCUCGGGUUCCGCCCCCUCCCAGGGCGGCAGUUCACAGCAUCGGCCGGCAGAGGGCAGCAGAGGCCAGCUCGUGGCAGACCAAGCCCAGGGCCUAGCGCAGAAGCGGGUCCUGGGCCUGAGUCCCGCUGGCUUCCCGGGUGCAGGCUCCACCAGGGAGAAGCAGCGGCCCUUCCUCUCUCUGGCUUGCCCUGGGGAGAGGGGCGAGAGGAGGCAAUUCCGAAAGCCCCUCAUUGUGCGGAGUGGCUUUUUCUUUCUUUUCUGCAUCACAUGCACUGAAUGCCAUUUUCCAAAGUGCUCCCAGAGGGGGCGGGCAGCCAGGUGAUUUCCCAGAAGCCGGAGGAAGAGCCACAGGACGCAAGGCCCACAUAGCUCAGGGGACUUCAGGAGGGCCACACCACUGCUGCUUACAGAACUCGGAGCUUCCUGCCUUGGCAGUCAUCCGGGGAGAAUUGUUACAGCACGGGGCCGCUCCUGUGGUGCCUCUACCUGCGGUUUGUGUCCAGAGCUGCCUUCGGAUGGCUUUCAUAUUCUUUAUAUGUAACACCGAAACUUUGAAAACCAACUCGAGGCCCAAGAAUUCGAAGAGGGAAAUUCAUCUCAUAAAUUGCAAUGCCUUAUCUGAUCUCUCCUUGGGAGCCUCCCUCCGCUCGCUCUGUGGGACUGAAGGGCUGGAGGCCUGUGCCAGUGUUAGCAAAACAUUUGGAGUCACCGAGCCUGCGACGAGAGUGGCACUGGAGCACUGGAGGUCGCAGUGCUGAGCAGGCUCUGCCUGCCUCGGCUCCCUGACCCUCAGCCAGUGUCCUCGGCUGUGAAGCAGAGGACAGACAGCCAUGGCAUGCUGUGAAUGCCCGACGUGCACCGUUGUAAUCUGUGCAGAGGCAGCAGUGAUGCCCAAGUCUCAGAGCCUGACGCCCAGUGAGCUGAACUCAGAGCACUCCCGGCCUUCUCCUCCUCGUCUUCCUGCAGCAGUGGUGCCGAAUCUACCAGACGACUCGGUCUGUCUCCACUGUGCCCUGGCUCUGGAUAAACCACGAAGGAGAGGGCACGGGGGACAGGAGGGACAGCAGGAGAGGCAAGGACCUCUGCAGGGAAUCUGAGUCCCUUAAGUACGUCAUCCCACAGAGAAAAGCCACCUGCAGUCUAUUCCAAGGGCUUUCAAAAUUACUUUAGAAGUGCAAGCAUUUACAGAAGCGGUGGCCCUGCUGAGCACCAAGCGACACAGCGGAGCAGGGCUCCUAACUAGCACCAUGGAACUGGGGAGCCAGACGGAAGAAUCCAGGCGAAAACAACUGCAGAAAAGAGGGUUGAGGGGCCCCGAGCAACUCUCCCUAAGACAGGCGACAGCAUCAUCGCCCCGAGCUGUUUCCGUACAGCCUGUUACCAUCAGCUCUGAAAAUCAGCCCAUUUUAAUACUGUAUGAGCUGAAAUCCUAUGUGCUCCAAAACAAGGUAACAGAGCCUGGAUCAAAGGACUUCGGACCCAGAGUAAUCUACCCACCUCCACUCGGCAGUUGAGUGACUUUUUCCUGGAAGAUAAGAGAUUUCCAACACGUAGGUGAAGUUUUUAUCUGUCGGUCUGGGGUCAGAACAGUAAAUCAUUAUAAUCUUUAAAAGUGAAGCUCAUAUACAUUUGUAAGUUAAUUGGAGUUGGAAAGAGUGUUCUCGAGUUUUAGGCACUCGGUCAUCAGAGGAGCCUUAUAUUGAGAGAGCUGAGUACCGAUAGCCUCAUUCGUCAAGAAACUUUUGCCAGGCAGCAUGGCACACGCUUGUAAUCCCAGCACCGAGGGAGGCAGAGGCAGGAGGAUCGGAAGUCCCAGCCCAUCUGAGCAACUUAGGGAGAUCCUGUCCCAAGAUAAAAAAUAAAAAGGAGGACUGCAGGGGUGUAGUUUAGUGGUGGGUGCCCGGAGCUCUACACUGAGCACCACGCACAGACACACGCCUGCGCACAAGCAGAAAGCGUCUGACGUAGGGAGGGGCGCAUGCCCUGACUGGGGCCUGUUCAGCUCUUAGCCCUAUGGGCCGAGCCAGUUUUCAUGUCUCCCGUGGGUUUGCUGUAGUGCUGGGGUCUCUCUCAUGGGUCCGCGUCGGUCAGAUACACACACACACACACACACACACACACACACACACACACACACACACACGUAUAAGGAAAAAGAUUUACCGAAGGAACCAUCUCCACGGCUUGGGGUCUGGAGAGUCUGAGAUUUGCAGGUGACUCCGAGCUGGAGACCAGGGAGACGCUGCAUGCGGGGCAUUUUCUCUGCUCAGGCCUACAGCGGCCUGGGAGAGGCCCCGCCCACUAGGAAAGGCCACCUGCUUUAUUCAAAGCCGUCCGUCCGGUAACACCCUGAGGGACAUGCCAAGAAAAACUGUGAGCAAGUACACGUGCUGGGGGCCAGCCAGGCAACCCGAGAACCAACCGUCCCAGCACUGCCACCCUCCUGGGCUGCACUGGCUCCUGGUGAAACCUAGCUGUGGGCUCGUGUGGCUGGAGUGUCCCCUGGGUGUGUCCUAACCAGCCCUCUUUUCUGGGGGAGCCUCUGCUUUGAACCCCUUGUCCUGGUGGGACCUGGAUGUUUCAGGAAAGUCUGAAGGUUGGGGAACUCUGGUGCUUGCUGAGCACCUGAGGGGCAGAACUGGGUCCCGGUCGGAGAUAAAGU
RNAcentral lists this long non-coding RNA (2701 nucleotides) under Heterocephalus glaber (naked mole-rat). RNAcentral's name for it is "lncRNA (ENSHGLG00000040230.1)". Lineage: Eukaryota; Metazoa; Chordata; Mammalia; Rodentia; Bathyergidae. The record is from RNAcentral.